UUUGUGCUUUAACAAAAGCUGAUUUAUUCAGAAGGAGUCUUAAUGUAGUGUUUCCCUGGAGGCGUUAGAAACAGGAACAAGAGCAACAAGUUCAGCAGAUGUUACAGAUAUUUAAGGUUGUCUCAGUUUUUGUCCACUCAGAAUGAUUUGCCUCCUUUAUUUCCAGUUUGAGGAGUGGAAAACAAACAGAAUUAAGGAGUAUCUGGUUGAUUUCAGGCAAUUUUGAGUUUGUAUGCUUUAAUAACGAGUUGUACCUCGGUCUAACCCUUUACUGCUAUAAAGUCGUUUACACCCAUCUACUGCAUGCUUGAUGUCCUGGCCAGGCUGCAUGUGAAAGCAGAAAUAUUUGCAACACUUACUUCAGACAUCUGAAAGAGCUUAUCCUGCUUCCAAACAUGGCACACAAAUAAUAAAAAAAAAUUAUAGCAUGAGAUUAUGUCUGAGUACAGCAGGAAGUCCUCCAGGGUAUUUACUGCGAGUCAUGUUUGUGUGUGCUUCUGCAUCAUAUUCAAGCCGCAUGCCACUUCUCUCUUGGAAUACGUCUGUCUGUGCAGGUCCAAAUUUAUUUUAGAUGUAGUUUAAUAAACCUGGACAGUUUUGUGCUGUUCAGUGUUCAGAUGUCAUAUCCUGCAUCACAUUAUGCCCUCCAAGCUAAUGCAUCUUUGGAGUUCUUCCAACAUGUGAGACCAGCAGUUAUUGAUUUUAUUUGCCUAAAGGCUAUCAAACUAAUGUAAGCUACAACUCAGAAGUCAUGUGGCACUUGGAUUGCUGAGCAUCUUCCAGCUCUAAAUUAGAAUAGGAAUAUGCUAAUAUGAGGAGUAUGUUAACCUCACACUACAGAAUUGGCAAUUAGGGCUGCAGAGUAUUAGAAAAACUUGAAACUCUAGUGUAACUACUGGAACUGGAAACGAUAUGUUUUGCAAGUUAGCCAUUUUUGUUUUCCAACAUCACAAUGCCCCACAACUCUGUGAUCAACAGCAUCAAAAAGAUUUAGGUCAGGGACAGAUAUAUUACCGGCAUGCAGAUUGUGAAUGCUGCAAAUGUUUAGUUAAAACUGAGGGUUAUUUCUAAACAUUCACUUCAGCAAAGGUUUGAGCUGUCACAUGCUCACAAAGCAGGAGAAGGAUAUAAAAAGUUAUCACAGCCUUUCUGAGUGUCCUGAGCUAAAAUGAGAAGUAUCGACAAGUUUAAAAAGAGCCAAACAGCACAGACUGAUCCUGGCAGAGGUAGGAAUGGAAUGAUUUCAAAGAAGCUGAAAAGAAACAGAACUCUGGUUGUAGACAUAGAAAAAGUCUGCUCAGAUUGAAGUGUGCUAAUAACAACGACGACUAAAGACUAAGCAUGCAUUUUCUUUGGUCAGAUGAGACAAAACUAAGGGUUAUAUUUUUUUACCUUAACUUUUAUCUCUGAAAUAUUUAAUGAGAUGCAACCGUGAAAAGUGCAGCAAAGUUAUUUUCCUACAACUAUCACCAUGUGUUAAACACUGGUCUGCUAACCUGGAUAUUUAGGGUGGGCUAAAAACCAUUUUCUUGGAAUCCAGACUCCAGCGAACCUUCCCUUUUUCAUUUUCUCCGACAAUUACAACUUAUAACAAAAAAAUGCACCUAAACUCAAUCCUUCAUCCAAACAUUGAGUCAAAAUGGAUAAAAACCUGAACACCAACAAAGUCAAAUUCCAGUGGACUGAUUUAAAAUGUCUGUCAGGGUGCUGGUAUUUAGAAGCUUUUGUAUUUAUUUAUAGAGGUGGGACUUAUAAAAAGUCGCAUGGCUAUGAGACGUUCUUACGCCUUCUGACCUGAUCGAUAUGAUAAAAUACUACCUUUGGACAGUAUGUGGAAAAACUCUCUAAAGAUGUCACAAUAUCGUCAAG
This is a long non-coding RNA of Poecilia latipinna (sailfin molly), 1869 nucleotides long. RefSeq lists it as uncharacterized. The record is from RefSeq and is a predicted model, not a curated record. Lineage: Eukaryota; Metazoa; Chordata; Actinopteri; Cyprinodontiformes; Poeciliidae. The transcript is spliced from 2 exons.